Molecule: ribosomal RNA, 506 nt
Filed under: uncultured bacterium
Lineage: Bacteria
Description: partial 16S ribosomal RNA
Rfam family: Bacterial small subunit ribosomal RNA
Source: RNAcentral
GAUGAACGCUAGCUACAGGCUUAACACAUGCAAGUCGAGGGGUAACGAGAGGAAAGCUUGCUUUCCUUGUCGACGACCGGCGCACGGGUGAGAAACGCGUAUCCAACCUGCCCCCAACUAGGGAAUAACCUUGCGAAAGUAAGACUAAUACCCUAUAAUUUCCUCAGAUGACAUCUGACGAGGAAUAAAGAUUUAUCGGUUGUGGAUGGGGAUGCGUCUGAUUAGCUUGUUGGCGGGGUAACGGCCCACCAAGGCAACGAUCAGUAGGGGUUCUGAGAGGAAGGUCCCCCACAUUGGAACUGAGACACGGUCCAAACUCCUACGGGAGGCAGCAGUGAGGAAUAUUGGUCAAUGGGCGGAAGCCUGAACCAGCCAAGUAGCGUGCAGGAUGACGGCCCUAUGGGUUGUAAACUGCUUUUAUACAGGAAUAAAGUUAGCCACGUGUGGUUAUUUGUAGGUACUGUAUGAAUAAGGACCGGCUAAUUCCGUGCCAGCAGCCGCCGCUG